GACGAACCGUGCGACCGUUAUUCGGAAUCACUGGGCUUAAAGGGCGCGUAGGCGGGCAGUCAAGUCCGGGGUGAAAUCCCACGGCUCAACCGUGGAAGGGCCUUUGAUACUGGCUGUCUCGAGGGAGGUAGGGGCGUGCGGAACUUCCGGUGGAGCGGUGAAAUGCGUAGAUAUCGGAAGGAACGCCGGUGGCGAAAGCGGCGCGCUGGACCUCUUCUGACGCUGAGGCGCGAAAGCCAGGGGAGCAAACGGG
RNAcentral lists this ribosomal RNA (253 nucleotides) under uncultured bacterium. RNAcentral describes it as "partial 16S ribosomal RNA". It matches the Rfam family "Bacterial small subunit ribosomal RNA", at positions 524 to 776 of the family's 1533-position model. The record is from RNAcentral.